This 497-nucleotide ribosomal RNA is filed under the name uncultured bacterium. RNAcentral describes it as "partial 16S ribosomal RNA". It matches the Rfam family "Bacterial small subunit ribosomal RNA", at positions 28 to 507 of the family's 1533-position model. The record is from RNAcentral.
GACGAACGCUGGCGGCGUGCCUAAUACAUGCAAGUCGAACGCUGACGAGAGGAGCUUGCUCUUCUUGGAUGAGUUGCGAACGGGUGAGUCACGCGUAGGUAACCUGCCUGGUCGCGGGGGAUAACUAUUGGAAACGAUAGCUAAUACCGCAUAAUAUUGAUUAUUGCAUGAUAAUUAAUUUAAAGAUGCAACUGCAUCACUACCAGAUGGACCUGCGUUGUAUUAGCUAGUUGGUGAGGUAACGGCGCACCAAGGCGACGAUACAUAGCCGACCUGAGAGGGUGAGAUGCCACGCUGGGACUGAGACACGGCCCAGACCCCUGCGGGAGGGAGCAGGAGGGAAGUUUCGGCAAUGGGGGGAACGCUGACCAAUGGACGCCGGGUGAGUGAAGAAUGUAUUCGGAUCGCAAAGGUGAGUUGGAAGAGAAGAUCGGAUGGGAGAGUUGAAAGGGCACACUGUGACGGUAUCUGACCAGAAAGCUACGGCUAACUGCGUG